This is a long non-coding RNA of Carassius carassius (crucian carp), 276 nucleotides long. RefSeq lists it as uncharacterized. The transcript has 2 exons. The record is from RefSeq and is a predicted model, not a curated record. Lineage: Eukaryota; Metazoa; Chordata; Actinopteri; Cypriniformes; Cyprinidae.
UUACAGAACAAUAAUGAAGUUUCACAGCAUGAAGAUGGAGGAGAUUAAUAAAAUCAUCAGAGAUUUAUGGCGGAGCACAUACAGAGGACAAGACAUUGAGUAUGUGGAGAUACACUCUGCUGUGGAUGAGAUCACCUCCGCUGGCCUGAAAAGAAGGACCUAUAACUAUAGAGUUGUAAUGGUCAAAGGAGACACUGUCUUGGACAUGCGUGGACGUUGCAGUGCUGGACAAAAGGUCAAAAAGCCGCUACAUGCAUCAUGGGUUUCUCUAGAAAA